AGAAGAGGUUUAUACAAAAUUUAUUAUUUUGAUUAUAUUAAUUAUAUUUUUUUAAUUUAUUAAAGAAUAGAAAUAAAUUUACUUUUAUAAAAUCAAAGGAAUAUUUUUCAGCAUUACAUAAAUGAGUCCAAAAUUUUUUAAUUAUAUUUAAUUUAUUAUAAAUUUAAUGUACAAAAUGUAAAAUGAGAUCCACACGUACGCGUUUAUGUCUUACCAAUCUAAACAAGUUACGUAGGACCCAUGUCUACUUAAACUAUUAAUUCACUGACGUGGCGAUGACAAGUUCUUUUUCGUGUACAACUUGGAUGGGAAUUGCUGGAGCCCGCAGUCAACUUCUGCCUCUUAUUAUUGUUAUUAAUUUUUUUUAAAAGAUAUAAUAUAUUAGUAUAUGAAUCAGUGUUAAAAAUAAAUUUUUAUAAAUUUUUAUUAAAAUUAUGAUAAUUUAAAAAAAAAUUUUAAUUUUAUGCAAUCAACAUAAAAUCUUGAAGAUUUUUUCAUCACAUACUUACUGCUUCUAUUAAUUAUUAAUUAUUAAUAAUUAAUAUAUAAUAAUUAACCGUUAUUAUAAUAUUUAAUAUUAUCAAACAGGAUUUAUAUUGCAUACCCUCCAUAUUAUAUCCUAAUUAGUAUUUUGUCGGGCGUUAUAUUCAUUAUUUGUUAGCUUAUUUUAAUAAUAUAAUUUAAUA
RNAcentral lists this unclassified non-coding RNA (686 nucleotides) under Hevea brasiliensis (rubber tree). The record is from RNAcentral. Lineage: Eukaryota; Viridiplantae; Streptophyta; Magnoliopsida; Malpighiales; Euphorbiaceae.